RNAcentral lists this long non-coding RNA (5622 nucleotides) under Brassica napus (rape). Its description in RNAcentral is "long non-coding RNA (BNAP_LNC004830)". The record is from RNAcentral. Lineage: Eukaryota; Viridiplantae; Streptophyta; Magnoliopsida; Brassicales; Brassicaceae.
AUAUCGUUAUCUCCAUGGAUUUGAUGGUCUCCACAAGCAGCGUACAAGAAGGCUUCUCCUUGAUUCAACAAUUCCAUCGCGAGCAUAAACCAAACAGCAAGCUUGAUGUCCUCGGUCGUACCUCUCGUAACAUUAACUCCAGACUCUCUCUCGGGUCACGAAAAAGGAACCGACUUGUUCUCGCCUCCGCAGCCUCUGGUCUCAACGGCAGAGCUCAAAAGUUCGAAACUUUAGCUUCUGGGGUUAACGGUAACGGCCACUACAGCUCCGCUAACUCCUCUUUCGCCUUGGAAGACGCAGAGAGCAACAACCAUUUGCGUCAGCUCGUCAGAACCGGCGAGCUCGAGGAAGGGUUCAAGUUCCUCGAGAACAUGGUCUACCACGGGAACGUCCCCGACAUCAUCCCUUGCACGACGCUGAUCCGCGGCUUCUGCAGGAUGGGGAAGACCAAGAAAGCUGCUAAGAUCCUGGAGAUUCUUGAAGGCUCUGGUGCUGUCCCCGAUGUGAUAACUUACAACGUGAUGAUUAGUGGAUACUGCAGAGCCGGGGAGAUCAACAGCGCCUUGUCUCUUCUCGAUAGGAUGAGUGUUUCUCCCGAUGUAGUCACUUACAACACCAUCUUGCGUUCUCUUUGCGAUAGCGGGAAGCUGAAGCAAGCCAUGGAGGUUCUCGACAGGCAGCUGAAGAGAGAUUGUUAUCCUGAUGUGAUUACUUAUACUAUAUUGAUCGAAGCAACUUGCAGAGAGAGCGGUGUGGGAGAGGCGAUGAAGCUUUUGGAUGAGAUGAGGGUUAAAGGGUGUACCCCUGACGUUGUGACUUAUAAUGUUUUGGUGAAUGGGAUUUGUAAAGAAGGGAGAUUAGAUGAAGCGAUUAAGUUCUUGAACGAUAUGCCGUCUUAUGGUUGCCAGCCGAAUGUGAUUACGCAUAACAUUAUCCUGAGGAGUAUGUGCAGCACGGGGAGGUGGAUGGAUGCUGAGAAGAUUUUUUUAGAUCGAAGCAAAUGACGGUAAUCCCGUUGAUCGUCUCCAACUCAUUAAGGUGGCUCACACUAACAAGACGACGGGUCAAAUUCAGGACCCCGUGAUCAAAGGUGUAGUUGAUUUGGUGGAAGCUGAGAUAGUUUCUCAAUCUCAGCCUCUCUCUGAUGACGGCGAUUCUACGGGAGCUUCAACCAACUUGUCCCUAUUGCAAAUAAAUGAGAUGGUUGAAAAGGUAAUUUUUUUUAUUAAUAUAUUUUUUUUAUAAUGUCGAUUACUAAUUUGUCUAUAUUUACUAACUUUAAAUAUUUUUGUAGGCGGUUCCUAAAAGGAAAGGAGGCCGUUUAGUUGGGUUGGCCCGCCGUGCUUCUUCGUAUCCGGCAUCUUCUUCGCAAGCUCCGUAUGCCGAUCCCAUGAUUCUCGAGGAGCUACAUGACAAAGAUGAACGGAUUGGGGCAUUGGAGGAGCAGAACACCACUAUCCUUUCGGAGAAUGCCACUAUCCGUUCGGAGAAUGCCACUAUCCUUGCUGAGCUGGCAUCCCAGAAGAAGUUCAACGCCGAGAUAAUGCAGAAGCUAGAUCGUUUGAUGUCUUCGAGUUCUUAGUUUUUUUCAGCUUUUUAAAACUGUCUGAAUGUUUUUUUCUUUCGUUUUGCAUGAAUUUUAAAUUUUCUGAAUGUUUUUUUUCUAUUUCGGUUUGUAUGAAUUUAAAUUCUAUAAUAUUAUUAGUUUUAAAUUUCAGAUUUUAUUUAUUUAUUAAUUAAUUUUUCAUAUAAAAAAUAUAUAUAAAAAUGCAAAAUUAAUUCGUAUUAUUAAAAUUGACAUUUUCCGACGAACUAAGUUCUCGGUAAAUACCGACGGAGUAUGACUCGUCGGUAAAUACCGACGGACUAUGAUUCGUCGGAACAUACCGACGAAUGGUGAGUCGUCGGAAUUUACCGACGAAUCGUAAUCCGUCGGUAUUUACCGACGAGUCAUAUUCCGUCGGUAUUUACCGACGAAUCAGACUCCGUCGGUAUUUACCGAGAACUUAGUUCGUCGGAAUCUUCGGAGGAUCCGUCUCCGUCGGUAUAUAGUUUUUCCGAUGAACUCUAGUCUCGUGUGUCCGCAUCGGAAUAUUGUCGGAAGUUCGUCAGAAUGUUAUUUCUCGGUAUUCGUCAGAAAGUCGUCGGAAGUUCUGACGAAAUUCCGACGAAUUAUUUUUUUCCGACGAAAUGAUACCGACGAACGCCUUCGUCAGAAAUGCGUCGGAAUAGGCCUUUUCCGACGAACUUCCGACGAUUUUGGCCAUCAGAAUCUCUCUGUUUUCUUGUAGUGGAAUAGUCUAGAAAAUGUAAUAAUAUUUGUAUGAGUGUAAAAAAAACCUGUCAGGGUGAUUUUGAUAAAGUUUGUUGAUAUAUUUUGGAUUCGGAUCAGGAGCAUAAAACUCUGCGGCUGAUCGAUCUGGAAAACCAAUUUCCCACAAGGUUGCUCCAUUUCUUGGAGGCUGAUAUACAAGAUCUUCCAUAUACAUGUAACAACCUGCACAUAAUGAAUGAUACUAAUUACAGUAUUGUAUAUUGGGUUUAAUUAUACAAAACAAAUGGUUUGUGGAGUUUAUAGAGAGCAAGAAGGAGAGAGGACCUGGAGUGAUGGUGAUGAUGUCAUCGUAUUUAUAGUCGCCAAUAAAACCAGGAAUCCAUGCAUAGAGAUUGUAUUGGCCUGGUCGUACUCCAUUUAUGUAAAAGAAUCCUUCUUCAUCUGUUCUUGUCCAGAAUUGAUAGUCCUGCAUGAAUUAAAUUAUAUGUGCAUAUAAUCAUAUUAAUUCUAAAUAUUUCCAUUAAUUUCUUCAUGGGGCCAAACUCAAACUAAAGUUCACCUUGCAUUCUCGUUGCCAUGAACCAGCAGCUCCAGGCAGAGCCAAACCAACAUAACCUCUAUUUGCUGCAAUGAAAUCUUUAUCUACGUACCUUCAAAACAUUUUUAAACAAAUGACAUCUUGCAGAUGAUUAGAUACAUGCAUGUACUUGUCAUGUAAAGUUGACUUGUCUUGAACACGAAUUUAUUAGUAUUUAGAGGUAAAAGCAAACGCAAAUCACAAUGGGCUCUCUGUUGUAAUUUGUUUACCUGUCUUGAACGAGAAGUCUGCCAACAACAUUACCACGUUGCUCUGCUUUCACAUAAUCAUCAGAAGCUGGAAAACUGUAAGGCCAGCUUUCUACUUCCACAUUCAUCUGAGAUAUACAAAUUUACCAAGAUGUGAAAUGAGGAGACAAUGAUAUAUUCGUUCUUCUAGCUAUGUAUAUAUAAAACAAUAUAUUAAGAAGGACCUGAGAUUUAGCAUCUUGCCAGAGCCAAAGAGGGUCAUUAUCAUCAUCAGUAGAGGAGUUUAAAUAGACAAAGACCGGUCCAAACACCUUCUUCCAUGCCUCUCCUUCACUGAACUUUGGCACUAAAUCCUCCCCUGUAUAGUGUGCACUCAUAAACACCUGAAGGAUCCCACUCUAGGUUACACGACAUUCAUAAAAAAUUUUAGAGAAAAACGUUAAAGCAGAAGAGAUGUGUAUUCUUACAGCAAGAGCAGUGGGUCCAACGUGAGAUGUCAAGUUCUGUUUUUGGGGUCCACCAGUUCGGUACUCAUGGCUAGGAGUUAUGAGCCAGAAACCAACUGAUGGUUGCUCCGUGCAUAUCCAUCCAUGGACAGUAAUGUCUUUGUUUUCACAUGAAUAUUGGUACUUAUCAUCAACCUAAAACCCCAAAGAAGUACCAGUAAUUAGUACAAGAAAGAAGUUAACCUCUCUUAGUUAGUACUUUACCUCUCCUUUAAACUGAGGCUCAACAGGGUUAACAAGUAGAACAGCUUCAGGGUAAGCCAGAGCUUGGCCUCUAUCCGGUAACCGGUCAUCAGGCAAUGGCAUGAACCUCUGCCUAUCAUCAGUUAUUGCCAUAUAGUGAAACCUACAACCUCAGAUAAUAUUAAUAAAAAAAUUAAGUGAUCAAAGAUGUGUUAGGAUGUGAAGGAGUGAUGCGUAGUUUACUUCUCCUUUCUUAGCUUGAAUGCAAUUCUAGUUUCAGCUAUUGAGAAAGCAGGCCACUCUUUCAAGUGCUCGUAGAUGGCAUAAGUGUAGAAUCCUGACGACCCACGAAGCAUAACAAAUCUGUUUCCACAAUGGUUUCAGGUCAUAAUCUGAACAAAAACUGGAAUAUGAAGUUCAUGCAUGCAUGUCAAAGAUAUAUAGUAGGACCUUUUGUCAAUGUUCAAAGGGACAGCUUUGCCUUCUUGUGAUGGGUCCCAUUUUCUUGUGAAAGAGAUCUCAAUCUGUUCUUCGGUUUCCAUUAUUACCUCAAACUUUGUUCCUUUUAUACUGUUACAAAAAGAAAAUAGUCAUUAAUUAACGGUUGCUUUGAAACCUCUUUGAACUUCAAUUUGUAAGCUUAUGAAGAAGACUUACACAUCAAAUGUACCAGCGGUUCCUGGUCCACUCCAAACGAGGUCCCAAUACCUGAAGAAUGUAUAGUCUUUAUAUCCAUAGGAGAAAACAGAGAGAAGCAUGCAAAUAACUAUUCUUACAAACAUAAAGGAUCAUAUAUAUAUAUAGCACACUACCCUCUGUUGGAUUCUUCAUUAAGAACCUCGAGCAAGUUAUCGAUGCCAUUAUACUCGAUACCUGUAACAAUUCCAUCAGGCUUUGAUAAUGUAACACGAGCAAUGCCAUUAUCCAUCACCACCUGAUCAGAGCCAUUAAUACAUCAUCAAUAUAGAAAUAUUUCAUCAAAAACGUUACACUCUUGUUUAGUAUCUGCAGGUAAAUGAACGCAUAGAGAAGAUCAUGAGAAGAGUUCAAGUAAACCAACAUGAUUGCCCUUAUCUUGCAACUGCAGUUUAACAGACGACAUUGUCGAAAUGUCUUUCUCCGCUUUGGUCUGAAGCUAAAAGUACAUGUACAUGCUUUCCUAUACGUAUACGUGCAUAUAUAUAUGGAUCGGAUUUAGAAACUUAUGUUGCCUUAAACGUGAGAUAAAGCAAGUUGGGUAUAGUGGAGAUAAUCUCUUAACUUCGUCGUCAAAACAGUUUGGUUAGUUUACAACAAAACGCUUAAAAUAGCCGCAAUGAUCAUCAUAGUGACAUUCGUGUAUGUGUGUCUCAAAGCUUUCACUUACGUCUCUUCUAAAAACAAUACCAUAUUUGUAUGCUUCAUUAGGUUAACCUUCACUAACAAGACACAAAAGUCCAGGCCCAAGCCCAACUCUAUGAGGCCCAAAUUCACAAAAGUCCAAAAACUUUCGGUUUCACUCACUUUCUUCAACCAAACCCGCCUCUUCUGUUCCUUCUUCUUCCCCCAUCCUCACUCUCCUCCUCCCUAAACCUUAUCUCAGUCCGAACUAAACUCAGUUACUUUAUCUAUGUCCUGAACUUGCUAAUAUCGUUAUCUCCAUGGAUUUGAUGGUCUCCACAAGCAGCGUACAAGAAGGCUUCUCCUUGAUUCAACAAUUCCAUCGCGAGCAUAAACCAAACAGCAAGCUUGAUGUCCUCGGUCGUACCUCUCGUAACAUUAACUCCAGACUCUCUCUCGGGUCACGAAAAAGGAACCGACUUGUUCUCGCCUCCGCAGCCUCUGGUCUCAACGGCAGAGCUCAAAAGUUCGAAACUUUAGCUUCUGGGGUUA